GUACUUCCUUUGUGUUGUAGUUAUCGUAUCCAGAAAAGAUGAGUGUGGUUGGUUUUGACUUUGGGAAUGAGAGUGGCGUUGUUGCGGUUGCUAGGCAGCGAGGAAUUGAUGUUGUACUUAAUGACGAAUCAAAAAGGGAAACUCCAGCUAUCGUUUGCUUUGGAGAGAAGCAACGAUUUCUUGGUACUGCUGGUGCAGCGUCAAGCAUGAUGAACCCAAAGAACACCAUUUCGCAGAUAAAGAGGCUAAUAGGGCGACAAUUUUCAGAUCCUGAGCUGCAAAGAGAUCUUAAGGCACUGCCCUUCUUAGUAACUGAAGGGCCCGAUGGAUAUCCCUUGAUCCAUGCACGCUAUUUGGGGGAAAUGAGAACUUUUACCCCUACCCAGGUUGUUGGAAUGGUGUUUUCGGAUCUGAAGACUAUAGCAGAGAAGAAUCUCAAUGCAGCAGUAGUUGAUUGUUGCAUUGGAAUCCCAGCUUAUUUCACUGAUCUUCAGAGGAGAGCUGUAAUGGACGCAGCCACCAUUGCUGGCUUGCAUCCUUUGCAUCUAAUUCACGAGACAACAGCUACUGCAUUAGCGUAUGGUAUUUACAAGACGGAUUUACCUGAAAA
This 610-nucleotide unclassified non-coding RNA is filed under the name Hevea brasiliensis (rubber tree). Lineage: Eukaryota; Viridiplantae; Streptophyta; Magnoliopsida; Malpighiales; Euphorbiaceae. The record is from RNAcentral.